UAAUCUCAUACAUAUCCCAUGUCUUCGAGUAAAAUAUAGCUAAAAUAUGGAAUGAAGCAGCUACAUGUACAAAAGCCUUUUGACAGAAGGAUUCCAGAUGAGCUGGCAACCAUUUCCUGGAGAAAAAAAAUUCCAUUCCAACCUAAAACCUAUCCCAAUUUCCCCUUGCCGAACUCACACCGACAUUCCCCUCACCGAACCCAAACCAUUAAUUCCGGCCAACUUCAUUACCGUUCUCUUCACCAUCUCCGGUCGCUGUCUAUCCGUUCAACAACGAGGAAGGCAAUACUUCAUAGCAUUUUGACAAGGUGAGAUUUGUGGGUAUCUUAACAAAUUCUUUAUGGGUUUUUCGACAGUCAUUGUACACGUUUCGAAAAGGUAAGAUUUUUGGGUUUUUGAACAAAUUAGGACUUGAUGUUUUGUUGAAGACAUGGGAUAUGUAUGAGAUUGUUGAGUAGUGAAAUUGGUGUAGUUUAUAUUUUGGUAAAACUAUAAUGUAAUGUCUCUAUUUCAUAAAAUUGAGCAAAAACAAGAGGUGGCUUAAUUACGUUUGUGUAUAGCCAAAUUGAUAUAUCUGGCCUCCAAAUACUUCAUGUAAAUGUGAUGAAACUUGUAAAAUUCUCAGAGGAGGCCAUCUUGUCUGAAUUAGCCGAAGGUUUAGAUGUUCUAAUCUUUUGGAUAACUAUCACUUG
Molecule: long non-coding RNA, 692 nt
Filed under: Olea europaea (common olive)
Lineage: Eukaryota; Viridiplantae; Streptophyta; Magnoliopsida; Lamiales; Oleaceae
Description: long non-coding RNA (OEUR_LNC004659)
Source: RNAcentral